UGAAAAACCGCAAAUCGGUUCUAAGCGGUGGAAGAACCUUCUAGCGCUUAAGAGGAAAUUUAAGCGGAUUAACAAUAUACAAUUAAAUAUUUAGUUACAAUAAUAAUAUAUUCAAAAAUAAUAUUAUAUUGCGGUAAGAAUUCAAAUUUGUAAUAAUUUUAAUGAUAUAUAUACAUAGAGUCAUACUCCAGUGAGAACCAAUUUUAUGAUGAGAUAUGAGAUCUAAUCUCAGCCACUCAUUUAAAUACAUUAUAUUCAUCUCUUACCAUUCAUUUAAUAUUUUAAUAUUUCACCAUCUUCUAAUUCAACUACCUAUCUCCUUCAACCACCGUUGACCACCACCACCAGCUCCGGCGACCACCAGAAAACCACUGCCGGCAAACAUAAAAUCACCACCGGAAAACAUAAAAUCACCACCAAAAAAUCAAAAAUCACCGCCAAAAAAUCAAAAAUCAACGCCAGAAAAUUAAAAUCACCACACCACCAUCAGCUACAAACCACCACCGCCACCCCCCAAAUCCGAAAAAUCACCAAAUACAAAACAAAAUGACCAUCAGAAAAAAUAAAAAACACAACUGAAAAUCAUCAUUUUCAAUUCAUCAGCUUCCUCACUAUCUCUCUCAACCUCCUCUCUCUCUCUCCACAUCCACACGCUCUCUCUCAUUCACUACAUCCAACCUCUAUUUCUGCCCAUAUCCAUCAUUAACUCCGACCAUAACAAAAAUUACUAUAUUAAUUGUAAAGCAUCACAAACAAACACCAUCGACAAAAUGAAAUCACCACCGUAAAAACAAAAAUCACCGAACCUCCGCCAAUACCAUCUCUAGAUCGGAGUAUCGAAAUCGGAGAUGAUGUGGAUCGACGAUGAAUAGAGAAGAAACAAAAUGAAAGAAUAAGGAUGGGGCUUUUAGAGGGGAGGAAGUAGUCGUGUUUCUGGAGAGAGAGAUCUGUGUUUUUUGUGUGCGUGGCUGGAGACGAGGUCGUCGCCUCGACUACGACGAUGUUGUAGAUCUGGUGGUUGCAUAGCAGCAGCAAUAACGGGUAGUGACGGAUGGCAGUAGAGGGUGGAGGUGGGCAGUGGAGGGGGGGAGGGAAGAGGGAGAGUGUAAUAAAAGAAAAUGUUAAAAUAUAAAUGCGUGGUUGUGAUUUGAUUUAGGGAUAAAAAUGUGGGGCUGAGAUUAGAUCUCAUAUCU
This 1193-nucleotide long non-coding RNA is filed under the name Daucus carota (carrot). RNAcentral's name for it is "long non-coding RNA (DCAR_LNC003179)". The record is from RNAcentral. Lineage: Eukaryota; Viridiplantae; Streptophyta; Magnoliopsida; Apiales; Apiaceae.